Molecule: non-coding RNA, 73 nt
Organism: Brachyspira sp. CAG:700
Lineage: Bacteria; Pseudomonadati; Spirochaetota; Spirochaetia; Brachyspirales; Brachyspiraceae
Source: Rfam
GGGCUGGUAGCUCAGUUGGUAGAGCAGAUGACUCUUAAUCAUCAGGUCCAGGGUUCGACCCCCUGCCAGCUCA